This 233-nucleotide ribosomal RNA is filed under the name uncultured bacterium. RNAcentral's name for it is "partial 16S ribosomal RNA". It matches the Rfam family "Bacterial small subunit ribosomal RNA", at positions 15 to 245 of the family's 1533-position model. The record is from RNAcentral.
GAUCAUGGCUCAGGACGAACGCUGGCGGCAUGCUUAACACAUGCAAGUCGAACGGACUGAUUCCCUUCGGGGAUGAAAGUUAGUGGCGAACGGGUGAGUAAUGUAUGAGCAACCUGCCUCUGUCAACGGGAUAACAGUCGGAAACGACUGCUAAUACGGUAUAUGACCACGGCACCGCAUGGUGCAGCGGUAAAAGAUUUUAUCGGACAGAGAUGGGCUCAUAUCCCAUUAGG